This 253-nucleotide ribosomal RNA is filed under the name uncultured bacterium. RNAcentral describes it as "partial 16S ribosomal RNA". It matches the Rfam family "Bacterial small subunit ribosomal RNA", at positions 524 to 776 of the family's 1533-position model. The record is from RNAcentral.
CACGUAGGGCGAGAGCGUUGUCCGGAAUUAUUGGGCGUAAAGAGCUCGUAGGCGGCCUGUUGCGUCCGCUGUGAAAGCCCGGGGCUUAACCCCGGGUCGGCAGUGGAUACGGGCAGGCUAGAGGUAGGUAGGGGAGAAUGGAAUUCCCGGUGUAGCGGUGAAAUGCGCAGAUAUCGGGAGGAACACCGGUGGCGAAGGCGGUUCUCUGGGCCUUACCUGACGCUGAGGAGCGAAAGCGUGGGGAGCGAACAGG